AAAUAAAAUAAAUGUUGAUACAAUAGUGUCUUCUUUGUUUUUAAAUACUGAAUAUUGUUGUGUAGACUGCAUUCCUUAUAUACUUUUAUGUACGUUAAAUUAUGCUAAGUUCUACUUUCCAAGUUACAAAUGCAUUUGCCACCACAUAGUGUCUGUCAGAAGUACCUAUUGUGGCUGUAGGUAAAAUUCAAACUCUUCUGUUUCUAGAUCGAAGUGAACCGUCUGAACUGAACAGUUGCAGUGAUGUUUAUCACUGAAAGUGGGAUUUUAAAAUGUUUACUUUUUAAGAUUUUGUUACUGUCAUGUUUUUAAAAAGAAGAGGAAGCUAUUUUUGUUAUUGGAAUUUUAUAAAACAACAUUUUAUUAUAAAAAAAUGAUUUGAAAGUAUAGAAAUGAAAUGAAUAUACAAAAUAGGUAGAAACAGUGGAAUAACUUGGAAAAUGAAAUUAUGAAAAAUUGGUGAAGCCUUUCGUUCCCACUGUACUUUAUGAACUGAAAUUUAAGAAAUGAAUAUCUAAAAUAAAUUAUGUUUAGAACAUGUGUUGUUGGCAGUGACAUAGAUUGCUUUAAUUCAAUCAGAUCUCAAAUGUGUGAAAUUUACUUAAACGGAAUAUUAGAUUCCCAUUAUGACACUUCAGAAAAUUAAUGCCAGACAAUUCAUUUUGAUCAUUAAUAUCAGUAUUCAGCUGUGUAUGUAGUUUUCUGUAAGUUAAAUAUAAAAUGACUCAGGAAGUGUAUACACAUACUAUAAAAUAAAAUGGCUAAAAGGUAAGUCUUUGUGGCCAAAAAAUGUAAACAGUGUAUAAUCUUUAUUCCAUUAUAUGUAGAGAUUUUUGUAUGAACAAUUUUCAGUUUGUGAAUAUUUAAAAGGUUAAAUAUGCAUGAAGUCUGCACAUACAUUCUUCUGUUACCAAAGGCACCUUCUGAGUUAGUUACACACAGAGGCUAGGUUACUUGUAUAAUGCAUAAUGUAGCAUACUGAAAAUAAAGACUACAGUCCAUUUACCUCCUAUCCAAUGUAACCUUGAUUCGGUUAACUGACACUGAAUCUUUCCAUGUUAUCUCCAUAACAGUUAAAACUUUUGAAUGGAACAUUACUUUUUAUUUUUUCUAUAAUUGUGUUCAUGCAUAAAAAGCCAUGCUUUUUAAGAUCUCUUAGGCAACUUAUAGUAAAAUAUGUCAUACUGUAAAUUUGUAACUUGUUAAAUUCUGCAACUUUAAAUGAACCAUUUUUCCGUCUGUGAGAUUUUGGGUUCUUGUGGCAGUGAGUAAUCAGAAUAUGGUCAUCUAGGAUGUGAUGCUGUGUAGUUUGGUUGGUGUACUACUGCCAUCUUUUACCAUAAAGGUGGAUUGCAGCAGGUUCCUCUGAAAUGUGGGUGCCAAUUAAUUGAUAAUGAAAUUGUUAUAUGUACAAAAAAUUAUGAAUAUUUUCAGUAAAAAAAUUACCUACCUAUAUCAUUUUUUGCAUUCAAACUUCUCUCCUGUAUACAAAUUAUAGAAAAUAUGAAAAUUAAAAAUUAUAAUUAAGGCAGUUUUGAAUGUAACCAGUUCGUAAAAGUCAGCUUAGAACAUACACCGUAGAUUAAUAUCACAUAUUUUUGCAUGACAUAAAAAUUGACAGUUCUCUCAUGUUGUCUUAGGAAUAAGGACCUGCACUUUUACACCUGAUGCUUAUGUGUGCAUGUAUGGUCAGUAUUUUUAAAAACCUUCAAUUUGUUUACUGAUAAGGAAAAUGCCGUUAUUGUGUGUUACAUGAACUCCGAUUAAUGUGUAUUAUGAAAUAGCAAACAUAUAUCGAUGUUAUAUUUCAGCUCUAGCACCAGAAUUCUGUCCCAUGGGGGUAUGUGCAAUUAUCCAGUCAAAAACUCAUAAAAUCAUUCAAAUCAUAUGAAACAAGAAACAUGGGGUUACCGAGAGUUCAGUUCAUUCAGUGCUGCUCAUAAGAUAAAAAGCAGAGUUUCCAGCACUGAAUAUCAAUGAUGCACAAAUUUUCUGUCACUAAUUAAGACCAAAAGUUUUUGUUGAUGGUAUAUUAAUGUGAUUACUGACUUUUUGGAUGUUAUACAUUGUCCUGUUUUAUAUUUAAAACAGGAUGGUGGAUAAUGUACAAAGAGUCGAUAUUUGUAUUUUUUGUCAUGGGUUAACUCACUGGAGCCUUGGCCAACUCUCUGUCCCUGGCUGAGUGGGGCAAAGUAUCUCAGAUGUUAAGUAAUUCACAGAUUCUGUAAAUGACUGUCAAGAUUUGCUGGAUAGACUCCCCAGAGAAGCCAUAAAGUAAUGAAACUUGUUGUUGGUUCAUAAGAAGCUGACAGAGGCUGUAUCACUGUAGACACAGACAGAAGAAAUGGAUUGUUAAUUGAGAAUAUUUCUCACAUUAUGACAGUGAAGCUAUUAAGGAAACCUUUCACAAAUCGGAAUGUGAUACCAUCCGUCAAAUCAUUGUUAACACAAGGGCAACACAAAGCAGAUAAUGAUGGAAUGAGAAAAGAAAUGAGACCAGAAUGUCCACAAUAGCAGAUAGCCAUUUGCAGACUCCUUUAGCUUCGCACUUCAUUUCUUUGGUUAUGACGCAACAGUGACCAAUUAAGUGAGGCAUGAAUUGCUUGAAGCCCGUGGAUGUUAAUUUGCAGUAUUCCUGUGGUCACUGCGAGAUCAGCGUUUUCCUACCGUCUAAGCCAGAAAGAAGAGGAUUUAAUUACGCAAGACCCAGAAUUACUUUCAGGCCUUACAGAUGAAAGGAGCAACUUCGUUAAAAUCGAACUUUUUUCAGCAUAUACAAGUCUCUACUCCGCCAAGUACUGGCUCCUAACCAUCUCCUUCAUGUAGAGUGACUGAUUUAACAGCCACUAAUUCGACAUGUCGCUCACAUAGAGGGAUUCUUUUGGUUCUUAGAAGAAAGUGCAACUGCUUUCUACGCACGACUAAAUUACCGUUAUUUGUAACAGGUGCCAUGUGCUGUCUUGUAUUUAGGAAUCUAAUUUUUUAAUGAUGUUUACGUAUGCUCCCCCCUUCGAAAGAUUUAAGAAAGUUUCAUGACAAUUGUGCAAGCAUGAGCGGAAAUUCAUGAAGAUUAUAGACCUAUCUUGGGCCGUUUCAAUGCCAGAUGUGUCAGAUAUUAUUUUUAACUUUUAGUUACUUUAAAAUUAUGUAUGUAAACG
Cryptotermes secundus is the source of this 3158-nucleotide long non-coding RNA. RefSeq lists it as uncharacterized. The transcript has 3 exons. The record is from RefSeq and is a predicted model, not a curated record. NCBI's taxonomy places the organism in Eukaryota, Metazoa, Arthropoda, Insecta, Blattodea, Kalotermitidae.